This 440-nucleotide ribosomal RNA is filed under the name uncultured Sphingomonadaceae bacterium. Its description in RNAcentral is "partial 16S ribosomal RNA". The record is from RNAcentral. Lineage: Bacteria; Pseudomonadati; Pseudomonadota; Alphaproteobacteria; Sphingomonadales; Sphingomonadaceae.
GACUACAGGGGUAUCUAAUCCUGUUUGCUCCCCACGCUUUCGUGCCUCAGCGUCAAUUCUGGUCCAGUGAGCCGCCUUCGCCACUGGUGUUCUUCCGAAUAUCUACGAAUUUCACCUCUACACUCGGAAUUCCACUCACCUCUCCCAGAUUCUAGCGACCUAGUUUCAAAGGCAGUUCUGGAGUUGAGCUCCAGGCUUUCACCUCUGACUUGAGUCACCGCCUACGCACGCUUUACGCCCAGUAAUUCCGAACAACGCUAGCUCCCUCCGUAUUACCGCGGCUGCUGGCACGGAGUUAGCCGGAGCUUAUUCUCCAGGUACUGUCAUUAUCAUCCCUGGUAAAAGAGCUUUACAACCCUAAGGCCUUCAUCACUCACGCGGCAUUGCUGGAUCAGGCUUUCGCCCAUUGUCCAAUAUUCCCCACUGCAGCCCCCCGUAGG